Non-coding RNA from Callorhinus ursinus (northern fur seal), 296 nucleotides. The record is from RefSeq and is a predicted model, not a curated record. NCBI's taxonomy places the organism in Eukaryota, Metazoa, Chordata, Mammalia, Carnivora, Otariidae.
GCCAGGAAGCCCAGGCUACGAGCAGAGACCAUGUGUAGAUGAUCCAGCCAAUGGUUCCAGGUAGGGCAGGCUGUCUCCUGGAACUCUUGUGUACUCAUUGUUCUGAGAACUCCUGGCUCUACACUCUCCUUCCAUCUAAAUCCAGCAAACUAGACUUGUUUUCCACAUAGAUUCUGCGGGGAGGCAGGAAGAGAAUGAGGCUCAGCUUGCUAUUCAGAUGCGUUGUCUUCAUUCACUGGGGAAGAAAAGGCCUGGGUCUUAAUGAAAAAUAAAGAAGUCUACAGAUGAAUCCUUCA